GGGAAUAUUGCACAAUGGGCGAAAGCCCGAUGCAGCAACGCCGCGUGAGUGAUGACGGUCUUCGGAUUGUAGAGCUCUGUCUUUGGGGACGAUAAUGACGGUACCCAAGGAGGAAGCCACGGCUAACUACGUGCCAGCAGCCGCGGUAAUACGUAGGUGGCAAGCGUUGUCCGGAUUUACUGGGCGUAAAGGGUGCGUAGGCGGACCUUUAAGUGAGAUGUGAAAUCCCCGAGCUUAACUUGGGGGCUGCAUUUCAAACUGGAGGUCUAGAGUGCAGGAGAGGAGAGUGGAAUUCCUAGUGUAGCGGUGAAAUGCGUAGAGAUUAGGAAGAACACCAGUGGCGAAGGCGACUCUCUGGACUGUAACUGACGCUGAGGCACGAAAGCGUGGGGAGCAAACAG
RNAcentral lists this ribosomal RNA (401 nucleotides) under uncultured bacterium. RNAcentral's name for it is "bacterial SSU rRNA". It matches the Rfam family "Bacterial small subunit ribosomal RNA", at positions 357 to 775 of the family's 1533-position model. The record is from RNAcentral.